CACGUAGGGCGCGAGCGUUGUCCGGAAUUAUUGGGCGUAAAGAGCUCGUAGGCGGCCUGUUGCGUCCGCUGUGAAAGCCCGGGGCUUAACCCCGGGUCGGCAGUGGAUACGGGCAGGCUAGAGGUAGGUAGGGGAGAAUGGAAUUCCCGGUGUAGCGGUGAAAUGCGCAGAUAUCGGGAGGAACACCGGUGGCGAAGGCGGGUCUCUGGGCCGAAACUGACGCUGAGGAGCGAAAGCGUGGGGAGCAAACAGG
This 253-nucleotide ribosomal RNA is filed under the name uncultured bacterium. RNAcentral's name for it is "partial 16S ribosomal RNA". It matches the Rfam family "Bacterial small subunit ribosomal RNA", at positions 524 to 776 of the family's 1533-position model. The record is from RNAcentral.